UUGAUGCGCAGCUACCAUGCAGUCGAGCGAACCUUCGGGUUAGCGGCGGACGGGUGAGUAACGCGUGGGAACGUACCCUCUUCUGCGGGAUAGCCACUGGAAACGGUGAGUAAUACCGCAUACGCCCUUCGGGGGAAAGAUUUAUCGGAGGAGGAUCGGCCCGCGUUGGAUUAGGUAGUUGGUGGGGUAAUGGCCUACCAAGCCUACGAUCCAUAGCUGGUUUUAGAGGAUGAUCAGCCACACUGGGACUGAGACACGGCCCAGACUCCUACGGGAGGCAGCAGUGGGGAAUCUUAGACAAUGGGCGCAAGCCUGAUCUAGCCAUGCCGCGUGAGUGACGAAGGCCUUAGGGUCGUAAAGCUCUUUCGCCAGAGAUGAUAAUGACAGUAUCUGGUAAAGAAACCCCGGCUAACUCCGUGCCAGCAGCCGCGGUAAUACGGAGGGGGUUAGCGUUGUUCGGAAUUACUGGGCGUAAAGCGCACGUAGGCGGAUUGGAAAGUUGGGGGUGAAAUCCCAGGGCUCAACCCUGGAACUGCCUCCAAAACUCCCAGUCUGGAGUUCGAGAGAGGUGAGUGGAAUUCCGAGUGUAGAGGUGAAAUUCGUAGAUAUUCGGAGGAACACCAGUGGCGAAGGCGGCUCACUGGCUCGAUACUGACGCUG
Molecule: ribosomal RNA, 660 nt
Filed under: Roseovarius sp.
Lineage: Bacteria; Pseudomonadati; Pseudomonadota; Alphaproteobacteria; Rhodobacterales; Roseobacteraceae
Description: bacterial SSU rRNA
Rfam family: Bacterial small subunit ribosomal RNA
Source: RNAcentral